This 2746-nucleotide long non-coding RNA is filed under the name Meleagris gallopavo (turkey). RNAcentral describes it as "lncRNA (ENSMGAG00000022706.1)". Lineage: Eukaryota; Metazoa; Chordata; Aves; Galliformes; Phasianidae. The record is from RNAcentral.
GAACAGCAUCUUCAGUGUUCCAAAACAUUAUGGAAAAACAUAUGCUGAAGUCUGAUGUUGGCUUAUUUUAACCUGUGGUUCUUCAUCAGUGGGCUAUAUAACAUUCUUAAAAGAACCAACCCCCUUCUUCCAUCAAAUAACUUUGUUUAUCUCACAGGACUAUGAACAGUCCUUGUUUCCUUCUACAAAGUGAACAGCUUUCAGCUUGGAGACAGCACUGUGAUUUUGCUAUAUGCACCAUGUAAAAACUAGGGACUUCUGAUAUUUGUCUCAUCUUCCUGUAGUUUUAAAAGGACAAAACCAAGCUGAGGUCAGACUUGACUUUAAUCCUCAAGAUGAAAAUAAAGAGAACGACUUUGUCUUUCAAGAAAACAAUACAAAGAAUAUUUCCAUUUUUCUGCCUUUAUAGAGCACCUGGACUGCAUGAUGAAGAGAAAAACUGUGAAGACAACAAAACAGAUUUUUCAGGAAAAUAGCUCCCAUGUCCUAACAUCAAACUGUUAACAAGAGUAGCAACUGGACAAUCUCAAGAUUCAAUUUUGAAGCACAUCACAGUCCUGUUCUACAGUAAGGUGCGGAGGCAUCCUUUCAUUCUUCCCAAUCUUUUGCCUCAGAUGACAGAUCGACUUUCUGCAUCUGACUCAAGUUAAAACCAAUCAGGGGCAAAUGCAUGGGAAUCUAACAUUAGCAGUGAAAAAAGAAGAAAGAAGAGUUCACAUUUCUGGAGAGGCCUCACAUAAACAUGUGGACUUUAAAUCAGAAUUAACUUCUUAUACAGUGACAAAUGAAUAUAGGCAGUGGGAGAAAAAAAAUCAUGCCUUAACUCCUGACAAAAGUAUAUAUCACUUUUAAUAUGCUUUCAAUGUCAGUUCCUAAAACAUGAUAAAUAAAAUAAGCAUGUAAAUAGAUUCAAACUGACAUGUUGUUUAACAUUUGUUAAAUUCACUCAAUAAAUUCCUUGGCAACUAAGUGAAAGAACUACAGGGAAUAACCUCAAUAAAAAUCUAAAUAAUUGUAUAGCCAUUUUGCUGCAAAAACAUGUACUUCGUUUUUAGACACACGUUUAGUUCUGCAAUUCUCUAAUGAUUCAGCUUAUAACUCCUGGCCUCUGCAAUUCACCUAGCAAGAGAUCAAUUGCUAUGACAAUGAAUUUUGGAGGCCAAAUCAAGAUAUUUCCCAAGUUAAAUUGGCCAUCUCAGACCAUAUUGCAGAAGUGUUUCAGCAAUGGCAGCACCGGCACCAUACUUGAAUAUGUCUGAAAACUACUUAUUUGUAAAACACACUCCUUCUUACAUUGCAAACAAUAAAUGUACCUUUUAUUUCAAUAAUAAAUAUAUUGAUAAUAAUUUAUCUAGACACUGAGAUUGCUGAAAAGUGAAAUCCUUUGUUCACAAAGAGACAUAACAUGAAGCAGUUGUGCUGCCUUUCUCUAGUUAGAAAAAUGCAACCUUGUUAUUAUCUUCAGAAGAGCCUUAAUGCUUGCAUCUUUAACAUUAUAUGCUUCUAUUUUGAACUUCAGCAAGCAUUUUAGCCAGCUAAUACCUGUAAUUCACAGUAAUAUCUAAGCAAAACUUAUAUUCUUCCACUGAAGUUCCAUAAGUAGAAAUUGCAGGCAGCUGUUGAAACGAAAAAGUAUUUCCCAGUAGACUGAAACAAAUACUUGCCCUUGACCAGUAAUAAGCACUCAUGGACUUUGAGUAUUAUGAUUCUACAUUUUCCAACUUAGAAAGUUUUCCACCUUACUUUCAGCUUUAGUAAAUAUGAUUAUCAUCCACAACAGAAGGGCAAAAGAUAGGAUAUACUGCCUGCGAUAUUACAGUGAGUUUGUUGUCAUGUCAAAACCACCAGUCCAAACAAAUGCCUUUUUUACAGGCAGUAUUUUACAUACCUUCUGAAAAAGAGUUUACAUGUAGGCUGCUUUAAUCACAAGUCUGUUUCAACAUAGACUUAUGUUCAUGAACAAACUAUGUGUGUUGAUCUUUACAACUCUUCCUUCCAUCACUACUCCUUUCAGUUCUCAGUCCUGUCCAUAUCACACACAUUCCCCUUUGCUCUUUAUCAGAAUCUAGGUAUAUGGGGAACUGUUGAGUUAUGGCCUGAACUGAUGAUCACCUGAGGCAAGAACUGGGUCAGCUGUGGGAGCACAAGUGAAGGCAAUUCACCUGUGAGACCAGAAGAUGCCAUUUAAGGGCUGACUGCCACUAAGGAAGGAUCUAUUUCUAGAGAUCCCUCCUUCGUGGAGUUUUUUUUCCUGCAAGCCUAGAUCCUCAGAUACAGGUGAGUAUUCUUUCUUUGCUUGUCUUUUUUUCCAUUCCACCACAAUAAUCUUUCCAACCAUAACACUAGGAAAGUCACACACAUCGUCGUAACUUCUUAUUCUAUAUUUGAGAUAGAUUUCUGCCAACCUAGGGUAUUUGAUGUUCUAACUACAUAAAUAAAUGCGUGUAGUACUUUCCAUGAAGGGAAUUUUUUCUUUUAUAUACAGCUGAGAUAUGGUUAUUCUUACUUGAUUCAUUAGAAUUAAAAUCUAUAAAUCUUUCUACUACUAUUGUCUAGAAGUUAUUGAUCACUCAAAAAGAGAAUAUAUGGUCUCUAAAUUAAACACAACGACACUUACAAAAGAAACUUCACUUUCUAUUCCUCUGCGUAAAAUCCAGUAUUUAGCACUUUAAUGAUUAGUUGUACUUCUUCCUUUAUAGCUUGUCUAUCAGCCCAGCAUCAGAAAUGCCACAAAUGCCACAUCUAU